AUUACUCCAUAGUAUUGCGUCAACACAAGUUGAUGUUCUUAAAGCUUCGGCGGUAGAAGAUGGGCAUGCGUCCUAUUAGCUUGUUGGUAAGGUAACGGCUUACCAAGGCAUCGAUAGGUAGGGGGCCUGAGAGGGUGGCCCCCCACACUGGUACUGAGACACGGACCAGACUCCUACGGGAGGCAGCAGUGAGGAAUAUUGGUCAAUGGAGGCAACUCUGAACCAGCCAUGCCGCGUGCAGGAAGAAUGCCCUAUGGGUUGUAAACUGCUUUUAUUUAGGAAUAAUCCCCAUUACGUGUAGCGGGUUGACGGUACUAAACGAAUAAGGACCGGCUAACUCCGUGCCAGCAGCCGCGGUAAUACGGAGGAUCCAAGCGUUAUCCGGAAUCAUUGGGUUUAAAGGGUCCGUAUGCGGGCAGUUAAGUCAGUGGUGAAAGUCUUCCGCUCAACGGGAGAACUGCCAUUGAUACUGAUUG
This 476-nucleotide ribosomal RNA is filed under the name uncultured Bacteroidota bacterium. Its description in RNAcentral is "bacterial SSU rRNA". It matches the Rfam family "Bacterial small subunit ribosomal RNA", at positions 165 to 639 of the family's 1533-position model. Lineage: Bacteria; Pseudomonadati; Bacteroidota. The record is from RNAcentral.